This 461-nucleotide ribosomal RNA is filed under the name uncultured bacterium. RNAcentral's name for it is "partial 16S ribosomal RNA". It matches the Rfam family "Bacterial small subunit ribosomal RNA", at positions 338 to 795 of the family's 1533-position model. The record is from RNAcentral.
CCUACGGGAGGCAGCAGUGAGGAAUAUUGGUCAAUGGGCGAGAGCCUGAACCAGCCAAGUCGCGUGAAGGAUGACGGCCCUACGGGUUGUAAACUUCUUUUGUCAGGGAGCAAUUUGGUCCACGCGUGGGCUUAGCGAUAGUACCUGACUAAGAAGCCCCGGCUAACUACGUGCCAGCAGCCGCGGUAAUACGUAGGGGGCAAGCGUUAUCCGGAUUUACUGGGUGUAAAGGGAGCGUAGACGGCGCUGCAAGUCCGGAGUGAAAGCCCAUGGCUUAACCAUGGUACUGCUCUGGAAACUGUGGAGCGUGAGUGCGGGAGGGGCAGGCGGAAUUCCUAGUGUAGCGGUGAAAUGCGUAGAUAUUAGGAGGAACACCGGCGGCGAAGGCGGCCUGCUGGACCGUAACUGACGUUGAGGCUCGAAAGCGUGGGGAGCAAACAGGAUUAGAUACCCGUGUAGUC